This 71-nucleotide transfer RNA is filed under the name Ictidomys tridecemlineatus (thirteen-lined ground squirrel). RNAcentral describes it as "Spermophilus tridecemlineatus (thirteen-lined ground squirrel) tRNA". It matches the Rfam family "tRNA". From Rfam's summary of the family: Transfer RNA (tRNA) molecules are approximately 80 nucleotides in length. Their secondary structure includes four short double-helical elements and three loops (D, anti-codon, and T loops). Further hydrogen bonds mediate the characteristic L-shaped molecular structure. tRNAs have two regions of fundamental functional importance: the anti-codon, which is responsible for specific mRNA codon recognition, and the 3' end, to which the tRNAs corresponding amino acid is attached (by aminoacyl-tRNA synthetases). tRNAs cope with the degeneracy of the genetic code in two manners: having more than one tRNA (with a specific anti-codon) for a particular amino acid; and 'wobble' base-pairing, i.e. permitting non-standard base-pairing at the 3rd anti-codon position. Lineage: Eukaryota; Metazoa; Chordata; Mammalia; Rodentia; Sciuridae. The record is from Rfam by way of RNAcentral. RNAcentral also lists the same sequence under 1 other name.
GGUGAUGUAGCUCAGUGGAAGAGUGUUUGCCUAGCAUGCAAGAGUUCUGAGUUCAAUUCUUAGUACUGUCA